This 445-nucleotide ribosomal RNA is filed under the name uncultured bacterium. Its description in RNAcentral is "partial 16S ribosomal RNA". It matches the Rfam family "Bacterial small subunit ribosomal RNA", at positions 354 to 796 of the family's 1533-position model. The record is from RNAcentral.
GUGAGGAAUAUUGCGCAAUGGAGGCAACUCUGACGCAGCCAUGCCGCGUGCAGGAAGAAGGCGCUACGCGUUGUAAACUGCUUUUAACCGGGAAGAAACCCCAGGACGUGUCCUGGGUUGACGGUACCGGAGGAAUAAGCACCGGCUAACUUCGUGCCAGCAGCCGCGGUAAUACGCAGGGUGCAAGCGUUCUCCGGAUUCAUUGGGUUUAAAGGGUGCGUAGGCGGAGCGUUAAGUCAGUGGUGAAAUCCUGCAGCUUAACUGUAGACUUGCCAUUGAUACUGGCGCUCUUGAGUGCGCUUGAAGUGGGCGGAAUGUGCCGUGUAGCGGUGAAAUGCUUAGAUAUGGCACAGAACACCAAUUGCGAAGGCAGCUCACUAAGGCGAUACUGACGCUGAGGCACGAAAGCGUGGGGAUCGAACAGGAUUAGAUACCCGGGUAGUCC